UCAAUGCGCGAAGCCUGAUGCAGCCAUGCCGCGUGUAUGAUGAAGGCCUUCGGGUUGUAAAGUACUUUCAGCGGGGAGGAAGGGAGUAAAGUUAAUACCUUUGCUCAUUGACGUUACCCGCAGAAGAAGCACCGGCUAACUCCGUGCCAGCAGCCGCGGUAAUA
Molecule: ribosomal RNA, 164 nt
Filed under: uncultured bacterium
Lineage: Bacteria
Description: partial 16S ribosomal RNA
Rfam family: Bacterial small subunit ribosomal RNA
Source: RNAcentral